AAAUUGCACCUGCUUUUCCACCUGCUCUCGCCCCUGGCCUGGGUCCCCACCUGAAUGAGGGCCUGUGGGCUGUCUCAUUCUAGACAGGACAGGACCUGCUGUGUUCAUUGCAGCCUCGAAUGAGGCCCUGGCUGGCUCAGUUUUCUGGAAGAUUCACCUCUUCAUAUGUUAUAGUUUUGAAAAAUGAACUACCUCUCAGUCUUUUCAGAAGGUGUUAUGAUCAGCAGUGAGUGAGGAAUGUUUAGCCAAAUGGUUCUCCUCCACCACGCUUCACAUACCACCUCUGUAAUCAGUGGUUCCUGGUGGCCAAGUCCCUUUACCCCUGCCCUGUGCUCUGCUGACAACCUGUUUUGGAUCCUAAGACCAGAUAGAUAACCAAGCUUAGUACAAUUCUUGAUAAAAUAGGAGAAAAAAGCUCUGCGUUGUUUUUAAGAAAUUUGGUUCUGGUCAAUGAGUCCCCUGGAUAAAUGUGUUAGUUCUCACAUUGUAAUUGACUCUGAGCUUUAAAAAACGUGGGUGCCAAUCCUGUGAACAUCCUGUGCUGAAAGUCACCAAGUAUUUAUUAAGGAACAGUCCCUUCCUCUCCUCUGGUAUGUCAUCUGCUCAUGUAAUUGAUGACGUGGAUGUGAUUAAAACCCUGGGGAUUCUCUUGCCCAGCCACUCACUGUAUUAAGAUGAAAAAUUUCAUGCCUUUCAUUAAAUCAUUUCUUGAAGUUGAUAGUUAGGCAGCCAGGACACCUUGUCCCAGAGAUGGCAAGGACUCUGGGCAGCAAGGAGGUCCAGCCUCAGGAGUUGUCCAGCCCUGAGGAAUAGGUACCCACCAUCCUGGGUGCAGAUACAAGAGCCGGGCAGAGGAAAGAGUCUGUACUUGGGCACAAAUUACAGAAACAAGUAAAGAGCGUGGUGUCCAAGGAGGAGUUUCCGUGACUGGCCCAGUGAUUCUGGCUGUCACACAUUUGUGAGGAAGGGCUGCUUUCCUCAGGAGGACUUGGUUAACCAGCAUCAUUGUUAACACUGAGCCUUCUGUCUCUCAGUUAAGAAUCUCCUUGUCCUCAGAUUUUUUUCUCAGAAAAUAAAGGUGAAAAGUCUUUGCUGAGGCCCAUAAAUGAUUGAGAAUUAGUUCAUAUUAGACGAGGUGUUAAUUCUUGGUGCUGGAAGAGGACAGAAGGUAGAAUAGUGUAAUGGGAGUGUCACUUCCUGCAGGAGGGGAGGAGAAACCUGGGAUACUUACAGUGCAGGGUCAUGUGGGUGGAAUUCAACACUGCAGUCUGUUUCUUGCACUAUUACUAACUGGUUUUUCUCCCUUGUAAGCCAAGAAUGUCUGCAUCAGUUGUCUGUAACUUUGGAAGACUUGCACAAUGGUGUCACCAAGAAACUGGCCCUCCAGAAAAAUGUAAUUUGUGAGAAAUGUGAAGGAGUUGGUGGGAAGAAGGACUCUGUGGAGAAAUGCCCACUGUGCAAGGGGCGAUGGGGAUGCAGGUCCACAUCCAGCAGAUCGGGCCGGGCAUGGUGCAGCAGAUCCAGACUGUGUGUGGAAUGCAAGGGCUAGGGAGAGCGCAUCAACCCCAAGGACCGGUGUGAAACCUGCAGUGGUGCCAAGGUGAUCCGGGAGAAGAAGAUUAUCGAGGUACCUGUGGAGAAAGGUGAGGUGAUAAAGCACGGGGAACUUCGAUGUGUGCGCAAGCGAGGGGAUGCCUAUCUACAAGUCCCCCCUGGAGAAGGGGAUGCUGGUCAUACAGUUCCUAGUGACCUUCCCUGAGCAGCACUGGCUGUCCCUGGAGAAGUUGCCACAGCUGGAAGCCCUGUUACCCCCGGAGGCAGAAGGUGCGGGUCACAGAGGACAUGGAGCAGGCGGAGCUGCAGGAGUUCAGUGCUGGCGAGCAGAGCUGGCGCCCGCAGCGGGAAGCCUAUGAGGAGGAUGAGGAUGGGCCGCGGAGCCGGCGUGCAGUGCCAGGCAGCGUGAUGCAGGGGCGGUGUAACGUUGGCACAAUGAAACGGCGUCCUGUAAUGGCUGUCUGGGGUGUCUUGUGUGUGUUCAGCAUUCUCCACAGCGGAGUGUCUUUGGGUUUCUUUUGCUUUUGUUUUGGUUCUGAUUUAAGUUAAGCUUGGUUCGCAUUUAAAUGUUUUACGUGUUAAUCACCUCAGUCUGCCCAUGGAAUCUGUUUGUCCUCAUCUUCAGGACAGUCCCGGGGAUGCUGGUGACCACGCUGACACUUUGCACUUCAGGUGGCUUUGCUGUUAUUCAGUUCCUGGUAGCACUCAGCCCAGAGCUGCACCCACCCCCUUGCAGGCCGGGAGGCACAGUGGGUAUCUCAGCUGUGUGUGCAGGUGGCUUCUCACCCUGUGCUCUGGCAGUCACCGAAGGCCUGUAUGCAGAGCUGCUGACAGGACAUUUCUGAGUCCAGGUUCAGAUGAGCAUCUUCACAAACAUAGGCAUACACACAGGGCUUUGAGGGCCUGGUCCACGCCCAGCAGGCUGCGUACCCUGGAUGCAGGGUCAGCCUAGUCCCUCGUUCAGUGUCCCCAGAAGGUUGGUGUGGGGCACAAGAGUCUGCUCAUCUCUCCUGGAGAUUCUCUGAACUUCCCAACCCCAUGGGGGGACAGACCACUGUCUUAAGUGAUCUCAGACCCACCAUUUGCCUGUGACCCAGCCCCUGUUCUCUGGUUUUCAUGAUCCUCUGUUGGAACCCCUGCAACCCUGUCCCACCCAAGUGCUUACUUGAAAACAAAACCCUCUCAUAUCCCUGGCAGCCUCAGACAGCAGCAGAAGCCAAGGGUGGACGCUGGUCUGGCCCACAGAUGGUGGGUUCUCCUGCCUGGUGACCCUGGGUGACUUGAAGGAUUGGGAAGGCACAGAUCAUCCCAGUGUCCCUUCCAUGUUCUCUAAGCUGGGCUCCUUCUUGAAGGGUCGUUCCGUACUGCACAGCCAUAUCCCAAAGGGUGUCCUGCUCAGGUGACACUGGUGGGACAGGCACACAAGCAGGCUCUCCUCUGUCGAUUCCUGCUGUCGAUGCCCAGUUCAGGGCACGUUAGCCAUUGCUUCUUUCCUGGCAAGCAGACUACACCUCAAAUCAGCAUUACCUCAACAUCAGGAUAUCACCACUCCUUUCUUUUCAGUCAUGAAGAGAAACCACUACCUUUGAGUGUCAGGUGCACCUUUGUCUGGUAAUACGAUGCUCAAGUCAAACCCAGACAAAGACACCCAGGAGGGCCACAGGAGAGGCCACGGGGUGACCAGGCUUUAGGAGCACUGCUGGCUGGUGGGACACAGCUGGUCCAGUACAGAGAACCCACCUGUGCCUGCCUCAACUGCUGGCCAGGAAACUUAGAACCAAUUCUUCCAACCAAGCCUACAUGAAAAUCAACUUAUAGGGCUGGGAAUUUAGCUCAGUGGUUUCACCAAGGACCCAAGUUCGAUCCCCGGUACCAAAAAAAAAAAAUCAACUUAUAAAUGGACCACCACUCCAGGGUGCUGCUCCUGUGCUGUGGCUUCCUGAUAAAUGAUUGCUAGAGAACUAUUGUUUAUUGCUGAGGGAGCAAAAUUACACUUGGCUCUUUCCUGUCACAUACAUGGCUUCUGGAGGGUGUUGCUUCAAAUUUUAUUCCACCUCUACAUCUGUCACUUUAAAAUUAAAAAUGAAGCUGCUAUGAGAGAC
This 3656-nucleotide long non-coding RNA is filed under the name Heterocephalus glaber (naked mole-rat). Its description in RNAcentral is "lncRNA (ENSHGLG00100040829.1)". The record is from RNAcentral. Lineage: Eukaryota; Metazoa; Chordata; Mammalia; Rodentia; Bathyergidae.